This 263-nucleotide ribosomal RNA is filed under the name uncultured crenarchaeote. Its description in RNAcentral is "partial 16S ribosomal RNA". It matches the Rfam family "Archaeal small subunit ribosomal RNA", at positions 268 to 533 of the family's 1478-position model. Lineage: Archaea; Thermoproteati; Thermoproteota. The record is from RNAcentral.
GCGGGCCGUGAGAGCGGGAGCCCGGAGAUGGGCACUGAGACAAGGGCCCAGGUCCUACGGGGCGCAGCAGUCGCGAAAACUUUGCAAUACACGAAAGUGUGACAGGGUCAUCCCGAGUGCCGACCGCUGAGGUUGGCUUUUACCCAGUCUAGAAAGCUGGGGGAAUAAGGAGAGGGCAAGUCUGGUGUCAGCCGCCGCGGUAAUACCAGCUCUCCGAGUGGUGUGGACGUUUAUUGGGCCUAAAGCAUCCGUAGCUGGCUGAC